UUAAGCGACUAAGCGUACACGGUGGAUGCCCUGGCAGUCAGAGGCGAUGAAGGACGUGCUAAUCUGCGAAAAAGCGUCGGUAAGGUGAUAUGAACCGUUAUAACCGGCGAUGUCCGAAUGGGGAAACCCAGUGCAAUUCGUUGCACUAUCGUUAACUGAAUACAUAGGUUAACGAGGCGAACCGGGGGAACUGAAACAUCUAAGUACCCCGAGGAAAAGAAAUCAACCGAGAUUCCCCCAGUAGCGGCGAGCGAACGGGGAGCAGCCCAGAGUCUGAAUCAGCUUGUGUGUUAGUGGAACGGUCUGGAAAGUCCGACGGUACAGGGUGAUAGUCCCGUACACCAAAAUGCACAGGCUGUGAACUCGAAGAGUAGGGCGGGACACGUGGUAUCCUGUCUGAAUAUGGGGGGACCAUCCUCCAAGGCUAAAUACUCCUGACUGACCGAUAGUGAACCAGUACCGUGAGGGAAAGGCGAAAAGAACCCCGGCGAGGGGAGUGAAAAAGAACCUGAAACCGUGUACGUACAAGCAGUGGGAGCACCUUCGGGUGUGACUGCGUACCUUUUGUAUAAUGGGUCAGCGACUUAUAUUCUGUAGCAAGGUUAACCGUAUAGGGGAGCCGCAGGGAAACCGAGUCUUAACUGGGCGUUAAGUUGCAGGGUAUAGACCCGAAACCCGGUGAUCUAGCCAUGGGCAGGUUGAAGGUUGGGUAACACUAACUGGAGGACCGAACCGACUAAUGUUGAAAAAUUAGCGGAUGACUUGUGGCUGGGGGUGAAAGGCCAAUCAAACCGGGAGAUAGCUGGUUCUCCCCGAAAGCUAUUUAGGUAGCGCCUCGUGAAUUCAUCUUCGGGGGUAGAGCACUGUUUCGGCUAGGGGGUCAUCCCGACUUACCAACCCGAUGCAAACUACGAAUACCGAAGAAUGUUAUCACGGGAGACACACGGCGGGUGCUAACGUCCGUCGUGAAGAGGGAAACAACCCAGACCGCCAGCUAAGGUCCCAAAGUCAUGGUUAAGUGGGAAACGAUGUGGGAAGGCACAGACAGCCAGGAUGUUGGCUUAGAAGCAGCCAUCAUUUAAAGAAAGCGUAAUAGCUCACUGGUCGAGUCGGCCUGCGCGGAAGAUGUAACGGGGCUAAACCAUGCACCGAAGCUGCGGCAGCGACACUAUGUGUUGUUGGGUAGGGGAGCGUUCUGUAAGCCUGCGAAGGUGUGCUGUGAGGCAUGCUGGAGGUAUCAGAAGUGCGAAUGCUGACAUAAGUAACGAUAAAGCGGGUGAAAAGCCCGCUCGCCGGAAGACCAAGGGUUCCUGUCCAACGUUAAUCGGGGCAGGGUGAGUCGACCCCUAAGGCGAGGCCGAAAGGCGUAGUCGAUGGGAAACAGGUUAAUAUUCCUGUACUUGGUGUUACUGCGAAGGGGGGACGGAGAAGGCUAUGUUAGCCGGGCGACGGUUGUCCCGGUUUAAGCAUGUAGGCUGGUUGUCCAGGCAAAUCCGGAUAAUCAAGGCUGAGGUGUGAUGACGAGGCACUACGGUGCUGAAGUAACAAAUGCCCUGCUUCCAGGAAAAGCCUCUAAGCAUCAGGUAACAUCAAAUCGUACCCCAAACCGACACAGGUGGUCAGGUAGAGAAUACCAAGGCGCUUGAGAUAACUCGGGUGAAGGAACUAGGCAAAAUGGUGCCGUAACUUCGGGAGAAGGCACGCUGGUGUGUAGGUGAAGCCCCUGCGGGUGGAGCUGAGACCAGUCGAAGAUACCAGCUGGCUGCAACUGUUUAUUAAAAACACAGCACUGUGCAAACACGAAAGUGGACGUAUACGGUGUGACGCCUGCCCGGUGCCGGAAGGUUAAUUGAUGGGGUUAUCCGUAAGGAGAAGCUCUUGAUCGAAGCCCCGGUAAACGGCGGCCGUAACUAUAACGGUCCUAAGGUAGCGAAAUUCCUUGUCGGGUAAGUUCCGACCUGCACGAAUGGCGUAAUGAUGGCCAGGCUGUCUCCACCCGAGACUCAGUGAAAUUGAACUCGCUGUGAAGAUGCAGUGUACCCGCGGCAAGACGGAAAGACCCCGUGAACCUUUACUAUAGCUUGACACUGAACAUUGAGCCUUGAUGUGUAGGAUAGGUGGGAGGCUUUGAAGCGUGGACGCCAGUCUGCGUGGAGCCAACCUUGAAAUACCACCCUUUAAUGUUUGAUGUUCUAACGUUGGCCCCUUACCGGGGUUGCGGACAGUGUCUGGUGGGUAGUUUGACUGGGGCGGUCUCCUCCCAAAGCGUAACGGAGGAGCACGAAGGUUAGCUAAUCCUGGUCGGACAUCAGGAGGUUAGUGCAAUGGCAUAAGCUAGCUUGACUGCGAGCGUGACGGCGCGAGCAGGUGCGAAAGCAGGUCAUAGUGAUCCGGUGGUUCUGAAUGGAAGGGCCAUCGCUCAACGGAUAAAAGGUACUCCGGGGAUAACAGGCUGAUACCGCCCAAGAGUUCAUAUCGACGGCGGUGUUUGGCACCUCGAUGUCGGCUCAUCACAUCCUGGGGCUGAAGUAGGUCCCAAGGGUAUGGCUGUUCGCCAUUUAAAGUGGUACGCGAGCUGGGUUUAGAACGUCGUGAGACAGUUCGGUCCCUAUCUGCCGUGGGCGCUGGAGAAUUGAGGGGGGCUGCUCCUAGUACGAGAGGACCGGAGUGGACGCAUCACUGGUGUUCGGGUUGUCAUGCCAAUGGCACUGCCCGGUAGCUAAAUGCGGAAGAGAUAAGUGCUGAAAGCAUCUAAGCACGAAACUUGCCCCGAGAUGAGUUCUCCCUGAGACUUUAAGUCUCCUGAAGGAACGUUGAAGACGACGACGUUGAUAGGCCGGGUGUGUAAGCGCAGCGAUGCGUUGAGCUAACCGGUACUAAUGAACCGUGAGGCUUAACCUU
RNAcentral lists this ribosomal RNA (2901 nucleotides) under Klebsiella pneumoniae. RNAcentral describes it as "bacterial LSU rRNA". It matches the Rfam family "Bacterial large subunit ribosomal RNA". The record is from RNAcentral. Lineage: Bacteria; Pseudomonadati; Pseudomonadota; Gammaproteobacteria; Enterobacterales; Enterobacteriaceae.